UACGGAGGGUGCAAGCGUUAUCCGGAUUCACUGGGUUUAAAGGGUGCGUAGGUGGGCAGUUAAGUCAGUGGUGAAAUCUCCGGGCUUAACCCGGAAACUGCCAUUGAUACUAUCUGUCUUGAAUAUCGUGGAGGUAAGCGGAAUACGUCAUGUAGCGGUGAUAUGCUUAGAUAUGACAUAAACACCAAUUGCGAAGGCAGCUUACUACCCGAAUAUUGACACUGAGGCACGAAAGCGUGGGGAUCAAACAGG
RNAcentral lists this ribosomal RNA (252 nucleotides) under uncultured bacterium. RNAcentral's name for it is "partial 16S ribosomal RNA". It matches the Rfam family "Bacterial small subunit ribosomal RNA", at positions 524 to 776 of the family's 1533-position model. The record is from RNAcentral.